UCAGCGACUUAUAUUCUGUAGCAAGGUUAACCGAAUAGGGGAGCCGAAGGGAAACCGAGUCUUAACUGGGCGUUAAGUUGCAGGGUAUAGACCCGAAACCCGGUGAUCUAGCCAUGGGCAGGUUGAAGGUUGGGUAACACUAACUGGAGGACCGAACCGACUAAUGUUGAAAAAUUAGCGGAUGACUUGUGGCUGGGGGUGAAAGGCCAAUCAAACCGGGAGAUAGCUGGUUCUCCCCGAAAGCUAUUUAGGUAGCGCCUCGUGAAUUCAUCUCCGGGGGUAGAGCACUGUUUCGGCAAGGGGGUCAUCCCGACUUACCAACCCGAUGCAAACUGCGAAUACCGGAGAAUGUUAUCACGGGAGACACACGGCGGGUGCUAACGUCCGUCGUGAAGAGGGAAACAACCCAGACCGCCAGCUAAGGUCCCAAAGUCAUGGUUAAGUGGGAAACGAUGUGGGAAGGCCCAGACAGCCAGGAUGUUGGCUUAGAAGCAGCCAUCAUUUAAAGAAAGCGUAAUAGCUCACUGGUCGAGUCGGCCUGCGCGGAAGAUGUAACGGGGCUAAACCAUGCACCGAAGCUGCGGCAGCGACGCUUAUGCGUUGUUGGGUAGGGGAGCGUUCUGUAAGCCUGCGAAGGUGUGCUGUGAGGCAUGCUGGAGGUAUCAGAAGUGCGAAUGCUGACAUAAGUAACGAUAAAGCGGGUGAAAAGCCCGCUCGCCGGAAGACCAAGGGUUCCUGUCCAACGUUAAUCGGGGCAGGGUGAGUCGACCCCUAAGGCGAGGCCGAAAGGCGUAGUCGAUGGGAAACAGGUUAAUAUUCCUGUACUUGGUGUUACUGCGAAGGGGGGACGGAGAAGGCUAUGUUGGCCGGGCGACGGUUGUCCCGGUUUAAGCGUGUAGGCUGGUUUUCCAGGCAAAUCCGGAAAAUCAAGGCUGAGGCGUGAUGACGAGGCACUACGGUGCUGAAGCAACAAAUGCCCUGCUUCCAGGAAAAGCCUCUAAGCAUCAGGUAACAUCAAAUCGUACCCCAAACCGACACAGGUGGUCAGGUAGAGAAUACCAAGGCGCUUGAGAGAACUCGGGUGAAGGAACUAGGCAAAAUGGUGCCGUAACUUCGGGAGAAGGCACGC
This 1129-nucleotide ribosomal RNA is filed under the name Escherichia coli. RNAcentral's name for it is "partial 23S ribosomal RNA". It matches the Rfam family "Bacterial large subunit ribosomal RNA", at positions 620 to 1751 of the family's 2925-position model. The record is from RNAcentral. Lineage: Bacteria; Pseudomonadati; Pseudomonadota; Gammaproteobacteria; Enterobacterales; Enterobacteriaceae.